This 818-nucleotide ribosomal RNA is filed under the name uncultured bacterium. RNAcentral describes it as "bacterial SSU rRNA". It matches the Rfam family "Bacterial small subunit ribosomal RNA", at positions 8 to 814 of the family's 1533-position model. The record is from RNAcentral.
AGAGUUUGAUCCUGGCUCAGAGUGAACGCUGGCGGUAGGCCUAACACAUGCAAGUCGAACGGCAGCACAGGAGAGCUUGCUCUCUGGGUGGCGAGUGGCGGACGGGUGAGGAAUAUAUCGGAAUCUACUCUUUCGUGGGGGAUAACGUAGGGAAACUUACGCUAAUACCGCAUACGACCUCCGGGUGAAAGCAGGGGACCUUCGGGCCUUGUGCGAUUGAAUGAGCCGAUGUCGGAUUAGCUAGUUGGCGGGGUAAAGGCCCACCAAGGCGACGAACCGUAGCUGGUCUGAGAGGAUGAUCAGCCACACUGGAACUGAGACACGGUCCAGACUCCUACGGGAGGCAGCAGUGGGGAAUAUUGGACAAUGGGCGCAAGCCUGAUCCAGCCAUACCGCGUGGGUGAAGAAGGCCUUCGGGUUGUAAAGCCCUUUUGUUGGGAAAGAAAAGCAGUCGGCUAAUACCCGAUUGUUCUGACGGUACCCAAAGAAUAAGCACCGGCUAACUUCGUGCCAGCAGCCGCGGUAAUACGAAGGGUGCAAGCGUUACUCGGAAUUACUGGGCGUAAAGCGUGCGUAGGUGGUUGGUUAAGUCUGUCGUGAAAGCCCUGGGCUCAACCUGGGAACUGCGAUGGAAACUGGUCAACUAGAGUGUGGUAGAGGGUAGCGGAAUUCCUGGUGUAGCAGUGAAAUGCGUAGAUAUCAGGAGGAACAUCCAUGGCGAAGGCAGCUACCUGGGCCAACACUGACACUGAGGCACGAAAGCGUGGGGAGCAAACCAGGAUUAGAUACCCUGGUAGUCCACGCCCUAAACGAUGCGA